CGACAAAAUUAUCGCUUGGCGUAAGAAUAACGUCUGCAAGCAGGCUAGUUGCUCUGUAAUGGUUAGCAAAAACCCACUAUUAUAAAUGUACUACAUAAAAUUGUAUAUUGUACAAGCGACUGAACACGAUGGUUCAGAACGCAAGAUUAGCAUUGUGCUAUAUAAGGUAAAAAUAGAGCCAUUAUUUAGCAACAUUAUAAGCGACCGUCAUUCCGACAGCAAGAGCUGCCACUCCAUAUUUAAAAUAAUUCAGCCACUUUGAAGCGGACUGUCCAUAUAGCAAGCCAUCAACCAUAUCUGGCUCCUCCUUGAGCUUCUGUCGAACUUUGGAUGGACUCAGACUUUCUAAAUCAUCUUCUAGGGCACUCUGUGGUAAUACACAAGUAGAAAUUUAGUGUUAGCAUGCCAAAAUGCUUACUUUGAUGCAGUGGGCCGACUUAAAUAAAUAAAAAACCUCGUGAAAUAUAUACACCCAAAAUUAAAUACCCUAGUCAAAUAUUUGA
Non-coding RNA from Paramuricea clavata, 503 nucleotides. The record is from the annotation of a GenBank genome assembly. Lineage: Eukaryota; Metazoa; Cnidaria; Anthozoa; Malacalcyonacea; Plexauridae.